AGAGGUUGAAGAUAACAGAGGUUGAGGAUGCUGAUGUUUAAAGAAGAAAGCCGUUAUUAGUAACGGCUAGUAUUAGCCAACGACACCGUUUCAUUAUAAAAGAAAGAAAGAAAUUAAAAGAAGAAAAAUGGUGUCGCACAGCUAAUAAACGCAAGUGUCAAAACACAUGCAGUACACUUUCUCCUUGCUGAUAACAAAAACAGUUGAGGAGUUGCACAUCUGUUACAGAGAAUGUAGAGAGAGAAAGAUGAGUUGUAACAGAUUUUAAGAGCUAAAUUUUAUGUGUCAUUGGUGUCCGUAAAGGAAUAUAAAUAAUUGUAUAAGAGAAUCUUGUGUUAAGUUAGUUUUUGGUGAAUUCUUCUCUAUUCAGUAUUGUAAUCUUGCUCUGUUUUUAGUUCUUCUCUUGUAACUGUCGUUCUCUUCAUCCUCUUAUUGAAUAAAAUGUAUUCAGUCAAGUUUCUU
Jatropha curcas is the source of this 462-nucleotide non-coding RNA. The record is from RefSeq and is a predicted model, not a curated record. Lineage: Eukaryota; Viridiplantae; Streptophyta; Magnoliopsida; Malpighiales; Euphorbiaceae.